GACCUCAAAUCAGGUAAGAAUACCCGCUGAACUUAAGCAUAUCAAUAAGCGGAGGAAAAGAAAAUAACAAUGAUUCCCUCAGUAACGGCGAGCGAAGAGGGAUAAGCUCAAAUUUUAAAUCUGUUGGGUUUCACCUAACAGAGUUGUAUUUUGAAGAAACGUUUUCUGCGUCCAGGAUUAGCCUAAAUCCUUUGGGAUAAGGUAUCAUGGAGGGUGAGAAUCCCGUUCAUGGUUAAUCUUAAGGAUGCUCUACGAUACGUUCUCCAAGAGUCGAGUUGUUUGGGAUUGCAGCUCAAAAUGGGAGGUAAAUUUCUCCUAAGGCUAAAUAUUGGCGAGAGACCGAUAGCGAACAAGUACCGUGAGGGAAAGAUGAAAAGAACUUUGAAAAGAGAGUUAAACAGUACGUGAAAUUGUUGAAAGGGAAACGAUUGAAGUCAGUCAUACCAACGGGAAAUCAACCUUUUGAGUUUGGUCUCGUGGGUUUUGAAGAGUUUUUAAAAGCCUUCGGAUUUUCGAGAUUGGGUUCUUCUGGUGUACUUUCUCGUACGGUUAGUCAACAUCGGUUUUGAAUGUCAUAAAAUGACUGGAGGAAUGUGGCUUCGAUCUCGUAUUGAAGUGUUAUAGCCUUUGGUAGAUGUGAUGUUCGAGACCGAGGAUUGCAACGGAUACCCUUCUGGGCUAUUCGUCUGAUCUCUGAAACGUUGCCUUGAUGUCGAAAGCUUGCUUAUGAUGUUAGGGUAUUACGGUCAAAAGGUUAGAACGGAUUAAAUUCGUUAAGGAUGUUGACGUAAUGACUUUAAACGACCCGUCUUGAAACACGGACCAAGGAGUCUAACAUAUAUGCGAGUGUUUGGGUGAAUAAACCCUUGCGCGUAAUGAAAGUGAUUUUGGUGAGAUCCGGAUUAAUUUUUUUUUUCGGAGCAUCAUCGACCGAUCAGGAUAUUU
RNAcentral lists this ribosomal RNA (945 nucleotides) under Funneliformis caledonium. RNAcentral's name for it is "LSU rRNA". It matches the Rfam family "Eukaryotic large subunit ribosomal RNA", at positions 1 to 779 of the family's 3401-position model. The record is from RNAcentral. Lineage: Eukaryota; Fungi; Glomeromycota; Glomeromycetes; Glomerales; Glomeraceae.